GGGGGGGUGGGCUACAUCCUGAGCGGCGCCGGGAAUUUCAUGGAGGAUUCGCGGCCCCACCUCGGCUCCGUCCCCCCCGGUUCCCUCCGCUUCUUCUUCGGGAGCCCCGCGAGCCCCGGGGGCUUCGCCCACCUGCGCCUGGAGCCCGGCGCUGCCACCGUCACCUUCCUGGAGGCCACCGGGCGCGUCCUGCACCGCGUGGUGCUGCCCCCCCGGCAGCUCUGAGCCCGGGGGGCGCGGGGACCCCUCCCCGGGGGACAUGGGGACACCGGGACCCUUCCCCUGGGGACAGCGGGACACCGGGACCCCUCCCCUGGGGACAUUAGGGACACCGGGACCCCUCCCUGGGGGACAGCGGGACAGCGGGACCCCUCCCAUGGGGACAUCGGGGACAUCGGGGACACCGGGACCCCUCCCAUGGGGACAGCGGGACACCGGGACCCCUCCCCUGGGGACACCCCGUGACCCCUGACCCGGGGGGACAUUUGGGACAUUGACCCCUGACCUGGGGGCACCUGCGACCCCCGCCUGGGUUUCCCCCUUGACGAUGACCCCCAAUAAAGCCAUUGAACGGCGCCCCCGCCA
RNAcentral lists this long non-coding RNA (585 nucleotides) under Parus major (Great Tit). RNAcentral describes it as "lncRNA (ENSPMJG00000004403.1)". The record is from RNAcentral. Lineage: Eukaryota; Metazoa; Chordata; Aves; Passeriformes; Paridae.